RNAcentral lists this ribosomal RNA (503 nucleotides) under uncultured bacterium. RNAcentral's name for it is "partial 16S ribosomal RNA". It matches the Rfam family "Bacterial small subunit ribosomal RNA", at positions 29 to 523 of the family's 1533-position model. The record is from RNAcentral.
AUUGAACGCUGGCGGUAUGCUUAACACAUGCAAGUCGAACGGCAGCACGGUCUGUAGUAAUACAGAUGGGUGGCGAGUGGCGGACGGGUGAGUAAUACGCAGGAAUCUGCCCUAUAGAGGGGGAUAAGUCGAGGAAACUCGAGCUAAUAAGGCAUAGUCGCUACGGAGUAAAGAGGGGGCAACCUGGCGCCAUAGGAGGAGCCUGGGUCUGAUUAGCUAGUUGGUGGGGUAAAGGCCUACCAAGGCGACGAUCAGUAGGUGGGCUGAGAGGAUGAUCACCCACACUGGGACUGAGACACGGCCCAGACUCCUACGGGAGGCAGCAGUGGGGAAUAUUGGACAAUGGGCGGAAGCCUGAUCCAGCCAUGCCGCGUGUGUGAAGAAGGCCUUAUGGUUGUAAAGCACUUUAAGCGAGGAGGAGGCUACCUAGAUUAAUACUCUAGGAUAGUGGACGUUACUCGCAGAAUAAGCACCGGCUAACUCUGUGCCAGCAGCCGCGGUAA